Molecule: long non-coding RNA, 595 nt
Organism: Protopterus annectens (West African lungfish)
Lineage: Eukaryota; Metazoa; Chordata; Ceratodontiformes; Protopteridae
Exons: 3
Source: RefSeq, a predicted model, not a curated record
AGAAAAUGUAGAAUUAAAACUCGCAGUACAUUCAUUUGUACUUGGUACUUGGCACUUGGCUACAGUAGUAAAGUAUUUUUCAAAUCAAUGUUAGUUGUUUCAGUAGCUGUUUUAAAAUUCCAGUACCGUAGAACCUAGGAUUUAACAAUGGAAUAUUCAUUAUAAAAGACAAAAUCACGCAUAUUCCAUCAAAUUUGGAAUCUGCAAUGAUAAUGACACUUGCUGCUGGCCUAGCUAUUUCCCCAUGUGAGAUGCUUGUCUUGGCUGAGCCGAAACUGAGUGCACCCGUGGCACCCACCACCAGGUAAUACCAGAUAUCCACUGGAGCCAUGGUUGAUGACACUAGUUAGAAAUCAAUGUGUGGUUGCUGAAGAGAACUACAACACAGCCAUGUCCCUGACCUGUAUUGUCAUUGAGAGGACCUUUGGCCUCUGAAGAGUUGUUUUAGGUGCCUGGAUGAGUUUGGGGGUGUCCUUCAGUACAACCAAAUUAUUGAUGUUACAUUUUGCACUGACAUGAUCAUGCACCAUUCUGAAGGUGACGUGACUCAUGCUGUCACUGCAGCUCCCAAUUCCAGUCCUACUAUGGCUAAUGU